GAUGAACGCUGGCGGCGUGCCUAAUACAUGCAAGUCGAGCGAACAGACGAGGAGCUUGCUCCUCUGACGUUAGCGGCGGACGGGUGAGUAACACGUGGAUAACCUACCUAUAAGACUGGGAUAACUUCGGGAAACCGGAGCUAAUACCGGAUAAUAUAUUGAACCGCAUGGUUCAAUAGUGAAGGACGGUUUUGCUGUCACUUAUAGAUGGAUCCGCGCCGCAUUAGCUAGUUGGGAAGGUAACGGCCUACCAAGGCAACGAUGCGUAGCCGACCUGAGAGGGUGAUAGGCCACACUGGAACUGAGACACGGUCCAGACUACUACGGGAGGCAGCAGUAGGGAAUCGUACGCAACGGGCGAAAGCCUGACGGAGCAACGCCGCGUGAGUGAUGAAGGUCUUCGGAGCGUAAAACUCUGUUAUGAGGUAAGAACAAAUGUGUAAGUAACUAUGCACGUCUUGACGGUACCUAAUCAGAAAGCCACGGCUAACUACGUG
This 497-nucleotide ribosomal RNA is filed under the name uncultured bacterium. RNAcentral's name for it is "partial 16S ribosomal RNA". It matches the Rfam family "Bacterial small subunit ribosomal RNA", at positions 28 to 507 of the family's 1533-position model. The record is from RNAcentral.